UUCGUGUGAACAGUGGUUGAUCACGAGUUAGUCGGUCCUAAGUUCAAGGCGAAAGCCGAAAAUUUUCAAGUAAAAAAUACAAAAUGACUAUAUAUAUAAUUAUUUAUUAUGAAACACUUGAAUAAUUUUGAACGAAAGGGAAUACGGUUCCAAUUCCGUAACCUGUUGAGUAUCCGUUUGUUAUUAAAUAUGGGCCUUUGUGCUCAUCCUGGCAACAGGAACGACCAUAAAGAAGCCGUCGAGAGAUAUCGGAAGAGUUUUCUUUUCUGUUUUAUAGCCGUACUACCAUGGAAGUCUUUCGCAGAGAGAUAUGGUAGAUGGGCUAGAAGAGCAUGACAUAUACUGUUGUGUCGAUAUUUUCUCCUCGGACCUUGAAAAUUUAUGGUGGGGAUACGCAAACUUCUCAACAGGCCGUACCAAUAUCCGCAGCUGGUCUCCAAGGUGAAGAGUCUCUAGUCGAUAGAAUA
Molecule: ribosomal RNA, 467 nt
Filed under: Impatiophila yapingi
Lineage: Eukaryota; Metazoa; Arthropoda; Insecta; Diptera; Drosophilidae
Description: partial 28S ribosomal RNA
Rfam family: Eukaryotic large subunit ribosomal RNA
Source: RNAcentral